AAUUAUAAUAGAAGAAGUAGUUUUGGUUGUUGGCUGCCGUUCACAACAUGAAAGAGUCGCUGAUCAUAGAGGGUCUUCACGGAGUACGGAGCAAUUUCUCUCUCAGUUUCUACUGAUACAGAGGAGAUGAUCAACUUGAUGGCCACAGUGAUAAUGGAGGAGAUCCCCAAGCUUCAACUCUGAAAAGUGAAUUUUAAGACAUCUCAAAAUCUGGAGAUGAAGGUCCGGUCCAGCUAACGCUUCCAGUUUUUCCAGAGACUGCCAUGGGGGACACGUGAAGAAAUUUCAGGGCCUUGUGGUGCACACAUCAUACAUGAAUGUACACUCACAAACCAAGAAUGCUAAUUACUGUAAUGCCUGCCAACAUUCAGGACUUCCAAAUGCACAAUGAGAUUUUACUUCCAAUAGAGGCUAUAGAAAUUGGAAAGAGCCUAUGUCUAAUGAUGGAGGAUUUGCAUCACAUGUGAGAUCUGACACACAUUAAUGUUAUGUUAGCCAAAUGGAGUACUUUGAUAUGAUUCUCACAGGAUUGCAAUCAAGCUUUGCUGACUUUUUACAUUUUUCAGUAGUUUAAGUAUAUUUUGAUACAAAUUUAGAUUAUGAAUUCUUACUGUGCAUCAUUGUGAACUUUGGUACAGAAGCCUCAAAAAGUUGUGCAUCACUCUUAGGAAGUAUAUUAUGGAUUUAAGGUUGCGAGGUUUGGAUUGCUCGGUAUUCCGUGAUAUGUAAAAUAAAAUAUUUGUAAGUCUUGUGAAUUUCUUUGUUGUUGAUAUAUAUAAUUUCUCAACUGCUUUAGGUCUUUUUUAUUUAGUGCAUGAGUAGAUUACGAAGAUUAUUGUGCAGCUCUUCCUGAUGUAAUUGCACAUUAUUGCCUCUAUAAAGGUUU
This is a long non-coding RNA of Fundulus heteroclitus (mummichog), 886 nucleotides long. RefSeq lists it as uncharacterized. NCBI's taxonomy places the organism in Eukaryota, Metazoa, Chordata, Actinopteri, Cyprinodontiformes, Fundulidae. The record is from RefSeq and is a predicted model, not a curated record. The transcript is spliced from 3 exons.